Molecule: long non-coding RNA, 446 nt
Organism: Equus caballus (horse)
Lineage: Eukaryota; Metazoa; Chordata; Mammalia; Perissodactyla; Equidae
Source: RefSeq, a predicted model, not a curated record
CACGUCGGGGACACCUGUCCUCACGCCUGGGGGUUGGGGGCCCGGAAGGGAAGAAUUUUUCCAACCGCUCUGGCGAGGCUGGCAUCACGGGCUCCAUUUACAGAUCGAGAGGCAGGGGGAGGGAGCCCAGAGGCGUUUUCUGCUCCAUCGACGGCCCCCCAAGACGUCCGUGUUAGAAAAAGCUCACGGAGAUUCUGGACGUGAAAUCGAGUGUGUUCUCAAGAUGCUGGGAGCACUGUGCGCGAGCCACCUAAACGCGGACCCCGCCGUCAAGCGCCAUCUUCCUGCACGACUGACCUUUCUCCUGACCCUGCGUCUCCUCAUUGGACGGGAAGUCCCUCCAGGGUGGGACUUAGUCUCAGGAAGGUCUGCUUCCGCCGGUGUCUGCCAGACCCAGGGCAUGGUUUGGAUGAGGCAGGUUAAUAAAAGUUUGUUGAGUGACUUAA